This 28-nucleotide non-coding RNA is filed under the name Cricetulus griseus (Chinese hamster). Lineage: Eukaryota; Metazoa; Chordata; Mammalia; Rodentia; Cricetidae. The record is from RNAcentral.
UCAGGACUUGAGCAGAAGACCGAACUUA